Molecule: ribosomal RNA, 422 nt
Filed under: uncultured bacterium
Lineage: Bacteria
Description: bacterial SSU rRNA
Rfam family: Bacterial small subunit ribosomal RNA
Source: RNAcentral
GAGGAAUAUUGGUCAAUGGGCGCAAGCCUGAACCAGCCAUCCCGCGUGCAGGAAGACGGCCCUAUGGGUUGUAAACUGCUUCUCCAGGGGGAGAAUUUUUCUGUCGUGACAGGAAUUGACGGUACCCUGGGAAUAAGCAUCGGCUAACUCCGUGCCAGCAGCCGCGGUAAUACGGAGGAUGCGAGCGUUAUCCGGAUUUAUUGGGUUUAAAGGGUGCGUAGGCGGAUUGAUAAGUCAGUGGUGAAAACCUGCAGCUUAACUGUAGACUUGCCGUUGAUACUGUCAGUCUUGAGUGUGGUCAAGGUAGGCGGAAUGUGUAAUGUAGCGGUGAAAUGCUUAGAUAUUACACAGAACACCGAUUGCGAAGGCAGCUUACUGGGCCAUUACUGACGCUGAUGCACGAAAGCGUGGGGAUCGAACAG